Molecule: ribosomal RNA, 433 nt
Filed under: uncultured bacterium
Lineage: Bacteria
Description: partial 16S ribosomal RNA
Rfam family: Bacterial small subunit ribosomal RNA
Source: RNAcentral
AACGAACGCUGGCGGCAGGCCUAACACAUGCAAGUCGAGCGAGCAUUUCGGUGCUAGCGGCGGACGGGUGAGUAACGCGUGGGAACGUGCCCUUUUCUGCGGAAUAGUCCUGGGAAACUGGGGGUAAUACCGCAUACGCCCUUUUGGGGAAAGAUUUAUCGGAGAAGGAUCGGCCCGCGUUGGAUUAGGUAGUUGGUGGGGUAAUGGCCCACCAAGCCGACGAUCCAUAGCUGGUUGGAGAGGAUGAUCAGCCACACUGGGACUGAGACACGGCCCAGACUCCUACGGGAGGCAGCAGUGGGGAAUCUUAGACGAGGGGGGCAACCCUGAUCUAGCCAUGCCGCGUGAGUGAUGAAUGCCUUAGGGUUGUAAAGCUCUUUCAGCUGGGAAGAUAAUGACGGUACCAGCAGAAGAAGCCCCGGCUAACUCCGUG